This 95-nucleotide microRNA precursor is filed under the name Trypanosoma vivax Y486. The record is from RNAcentral. Lineage: Eukaryota; Euglenozoa; Kinetoplastea; Trypanosomatida; Trypanosomatidae.
ACCGCCAGCACCUUCCGUUUUGCCUCAAUUUGACGCCUUUUUGUGCCGCAAUUAAACGCAUCAAAUUGAGGCAAAACGCAAGGAGGGCUUUGCAG